Molecule: long non-coding RNA, 4025 nt
Filed under: Homo sapiens (human)
Lineage: Eukaryota; Metazoa; Chordata; Mammalia; Primates; Hominidae
Description: non-protein coding lnc-AGPAT5-1:10
Source: RNAcentral
GUUUCCGGCCCGGGGCCCGACUGCGGGUGGCAUUUCUGGCUAAGCCGUUAGGCGCGAAUUUUCUGUGUCCAGAAAACACAGGGCACGUUACCCGGUAUCGUGGUCUACACCUCGCCCACAAAUCCAUCCCAGGCUGUAUCCUCAUGGAAGCUUUUUCCAGAUGUGCUUGAGGGUUAAGAUCGCAAUGUGCAAGAAGAAAAAGUGCACAUUGGAAAACCUUCUCUUCGGAGAUAUCUAUAUCUAUAUUUAUAUAUAUUUACAGAUAUGGAGAUAUAUACACACACGUAUCUGAAAACAUUCUGACGUUUUAAAAACGGAGCACCAGAGGAGGGGGACUUCAUCUGACUUGUUCAGCACUGUCUCCCAGGCCCUGGCACAGAGGGAGCACUCGAUACACACCGAUGGGCUGAAGGUGUGAAUGGAUCUGGGGACUAGAGUGAUGGUUAUUUGGCAGACAGCAUGCCCCGCCUGGGCAGUAGCCGUGAAGACUCUUCUUUUCCUCUCCUCGCCUGCACUCUUUAGGAUUGAACAGCAUUGGUUCAAUGCAUAUUCUGGGAGCACAGAGAAAAAAGGGAUCAAGUUCCACCAUUAUGCAAAAGGGACUCCUGUAAGCCAGACCCUGAGCCGUUGUCAAAACACAGCUUAAUCCCCAUUCCCUGGGCCCGAGACCCUGCAGCCCCCACGCUGCCCGGCUUCCGGUCUUACCUGGGGCAACCUGACCAACAAGAACGCGGAAGGCCAGGAGCCAAAAACAGAGACUCCUGAUGGGUAACAGAAGGAAAAGGAUGUGAAGAACCCAGCAGCCUUUCCUGAGGCUGUGUCUUCUGUGCACAGCAUCUACUAAGGCCAUUCAAAAACACCCCUCCAUGGAUCUUAAAGCACCCCCUUUUUCCCUUAGGAGGGGGAGUUCUGCAGCUCCUUAAGCUAAAGCCAGAUGGAUGCAACUAAGAGAGAAGAGAGAACUCCAUGCUGCCCCCUUGGUGAAUAGGCUGGGCCCAGCAUGGUGCAGUCCUUAAAGAGGACCACGGUGGAUGAGAUGAAGCCACCAGGGCACUGUGUGUACAGAAACAGCAGGAAUCAAAAUGCCAUAUACCCGAUGAGUGCAAUGAUGAAACAAAAAAUUUAUGUGCCGACUCAGAUUGGAGAAGUAUACUGGGAAAAACAGGCCAAUAGUAGAUUUGAUUGGAAGAGUAGUAUUUUGAGCAAUUUUUGUUAUAGCACUGUUUUGUAUUUUGACUGAUUGUGACAAGCGUGUAUUUUUCUGCUGAUAUUUGUGGGUUCUCAGGCUUUCGUGGCAUAAAACAACCUUGAUCAAAAAUGUGAAUGGUAUAAGAAGUUAGUGAAUCAGCUUUCAUGCCUGUCCAGAACAGAACAAAGGGGCACCCACAUGACAGCUCACUAAAUUUCUUUUAAAAACCUGUUGUCUUCCAAGAUUUGGGACUAAUAAUAAAAAAGCCUCAAGUGGCUUUUGUUCAUAAAUUACCAUCAGUCCGUGAUCUAACAGAAGAGAUAAAGGCAGGGGAAUAACUAUUUCUCCCAAGGCUUUUUAUUAUUGUGAUUUUAAAAAACUAUUAUUUUUCAAUAUUUUGGAUAGUUCAUGUAUUUUCAGAAGAAAGCAGCCAUGAACAAGUGUAUGUAUAUUGGGAGUUAACUGGAAAUAUCCAUUUUCAUGGAAGUUCUCCUUCUAAACAAUGGACAGAAUCAGGUCUAUCCCCUAAACCAGAGGUUGGAAAACAAUGACCUUUGGCCAAAUCUGGCUUGCUGCCUGUUCUUUUGAACACAGUUUUAUGGAAGCACAGCCACUCCCAUUUACUUAUGUGUCAGACAAGGAUUCUUUCACUCUGCAGUGACAGAGUUGAGUACUUGCAACAGAUGGGAUAUGACUCACAGAAUUGAAAAUAUUUAUUAUCUGGCCCCUUGGAAAUAUUUGACGACCCAUGUGCUGAGCCACUGACAUAGCCAUCUAAUCCCAUGUGGCAACCACUGGCGGUACAUCUGUGGUUUAAACUCCUCCUGGCCACUACUAAAAGUGUAAUCAGGGUCCAUUGAUACAGGAAGACUUUUUUUUUUUUUUUUUUUUUGGACAGAGUCUUGCUCUGUUGCCCAGGCUGGAGUGCACUGGCACAAUCAUAGCUCACUGCAACCUCUGCCACCCGGGCUCAAACAAUUCUCCUGCCUCAGCCUCCCAAGUAGCUGGGAUUACAGGCGCCCGCCACCAGGCCUGACUUUUUUUUUUUUUUUUUUUUUUUUCCAGUAAAGAUGAGGUUUCACCAUGUUGGCCAGGCUGGUCUCGAACUCCUGACCUCAGGUGAUCCACCGUCCUUGGCCUCCCAAAGUGCUGGGAUUACAGGUGUGAGCCACUACACCCGGCCAGGAAGACUGUUCAAUAUAGGGGCCACACAAGACCACAUGCUGGCUGUUUUGUCUCCUUUCUCUCUUUUUCAACAGUCAUGCUCCUUUUUUUUCAUCAUGGCAUUGGUUUCUUGGAGAAACAAGGUUAUUUUUCCUGUAGAAUGUCUCACACUCUGGAUUUGACCCACUGCUUCCUGUGCUGUUGUUUCGCUUGUUUCCGAAAGUCCUGUAUUUUCCGUAAACUAGUAGUUAGAUCUAGAAACUCAAUUAGUUUCAGGUUCCAUUUCUUUGGGCAAGAAUAGUUCAUGGGUGGUGCUGUGUAAUUCUUAUUACAUCACAACAGGAAAUCCAUUAAUGUCUGGUUGUCUCAGUUUUAGGGAGGGUAAGACUGAUGAUCGAGUGCACCCUUAACCCUCAGUUAUCAAAUUCCCUGCCAAGCUUUUCACCAAAUGGUUCUAAAACAGUCCAUUGAUGAUUGCUUUAGACCUAUAAUUUCAUUCAGGGUUGCAAUAUGGUGAUUUUAUUAUUCUAUCAUCCCUUUUUCAUUUAUUAGUUGGGGAAAUUCUAUAAAGAAGGCAUUUCCUUAACUAUUGUUCACCCUAAAAGGCAGUUUGUACUGAAAAUGCAGAAUAAAUUUCUGAAGUGAUAAGUUGGUGCUGUAACAAGCUCUAAUUAUAAAUGAAACUAUUUAAUUGUCAUCAUGAACUCAUGGAUGUUUAUGUAUUUGUGUGCGUCAAUCAAUUGUUAUCAUUAGUUACUGCAGUUAGGAAAAAUGUCUCAUCUGUGGCCAUUGGGCUCCCCUUUGAUUUGGAGCUGGUGUUCUUUUGGUGCGACCCUUCAGUCUUUGAGAUGUCUUAUUUCUAGCACAGCAAAAUAACUCAGGCUUGUCUUGUACAUCUUAUGUUCCAGACUUGGAGGCUGCCAUUUCUCCAAGUAGUCCUGGAGAUUCUCAAAUGCUAAAGUUAACCAACACAGUGCCCUAAGACCAGAAAGGAGAAAAAAUGGAAGUUCUGGGUCCUGCCAAAGGACUAUUUCACUGAGCAGACUGCUGAGACCUCUGAAUUAUGUGGACACUUGAGAAUCAGUCAUGUGUUGGGGCCGGCGUCGUGGCUCAUGCCUGUAAUCCCAGCACUUUGGCAUUUUGGGAGGCCAAGGCGGGUGGAUCACCUGUGGUCAGGAGUUCGAGACCAGCCUGGUCAACAUGGUGAAACCCUGUCUUUACUAAAAACAAAAACAAACCCCAAAAAUUAGCCAGGUAUGGUGGCCGGCACCUGUAAUCCGAGCUAGUCGGGAGGCUGAGGCAGGAGAACUGCUUGGGCUUGGGAGGCAGAGGUUGCAGUGAGCCGAGAUUGUGCCACUGCACUUCAGCCUGGGCGACAAGAGUGAAACACCAGCUCAAAAAAAAAAAAAAAAAAAAAAAACCAAAAAAAAAAAAACCAAAAUCAGUCACCUGUUGGUUUGUGGAUCAAACAAAGUGGAGGUGACAUCACUGAAGCCUAGGACAUCACUCCCCUUUUCCAGGCAGGCUUUGUGGUUCGACCUGUCUCACGUUCCAACCCAUGCACCCUAACCCCCUACUUCUUUACCUCUUCCAAUUGAGACACAAGAUUCAUUUUGGCCCAAAGGAGGUAUACUUCAAAAGCAAUUUUCCUUUAUUAAAAGAAUGCUUAUAA